UACAUGGGGUGCAAACGUUGCUCGGCAUUAUUGGGCGUAAAGCGCGCGUAGGCGGUUUGUUAAGUCGGAUGUGAAAUCCCUCGGCUCAACUGAGGAAGUGCAUCCGAAACUGGCAGGCUUGAGUACUAAAGAGGGUCGCGGAAUUCCCGGUGUAGAGGUGAAAUUCGUAGAUAUCGGGAGGAACACCGGUGGCGAAGGCGGCGACCUGGGUAGAUACUGACGCUGAGGUGCGAAAGCGUGGGGAGCAAACAGG
Molecule: ribosomal RNA, 253 nt
Filed under: uncultured bacterium
Lineage: Bacteria
Description: partial 16S ribosomal RNA
Rfam family: Bacterial small subunit ribosomal RNA
Source: RNAcentral